UGAGGGAAUAUUUGGGUCAAUGGUCGCGAGACUGAACCAGCCAAGUAGCGUGCAGGACGACGGCCCUCCGGGUUGUAAACUGCUUUUAGUUGGGAAUAAAAGGGCGUACGUGUACGCCGUAUUGUAUGUACCAUCAGAAAAAGGACCGGCUAAUUCCGUGCCAGCAGCCGCGGUAAUACGGAAGGUCCGGGCGUUAUCCGGAUUUAUUGGGUUUAAAGGGAGCGUAGGCGGGUUUUUAAGUCAGUUGUGAAAGUCUGCGGCUCAACCGUAGAAUUGCAGUUGAAACUGGAAGCCUUGAGUGCACGCAGGGGUGCCGGAAUUCAUGGUGUAGCGGUGAAAUGCUUAGAUAUCAUGAAGAACUCCGAAAGCGAAGGCAAGUG
RNAcentral lists this ribosomal RNA (380 nucleotides) under uncultured Prevotellaceae bacterium. Its description in RNAcentral is "bacterial SSU rRNA". It matches the Rfam family "Bacterial small subunit ribosomal RNA", at positions 352 to 727 of the family's 1533-position model. The record is from RNAcentral. Lineage: Bacteria; Pseudomonadati; Bacteroidota; Bacteroidia; Bacteroidales; Prevotellaceae.